This 508-nucleotide ribosomal RNA is filed under the name uncultured bacterium. Its description in RNAcentral is "partial 16S ribosomal RNA". It matches the Rfam family "Bacterial small subunit ribosomal RNA", at positions 33 to 541 of the family's 1533-position model. The record is from RNAcentral.
GACGAACGCUGGCGGCGUACUUAACACAUGCAAGUCGAACGGAAAGGCCCUGCUUUUGUGGGGUGCUCGAGUGGCGAACGGGUGAGUAACACGUGAGUAACCUGCCCUUGACUUUGGGAUAACUUCAGGAAACUGGGGCUAAUACCGGAUAGGAGCUCCUGCUGCAUGGUGGGGGUUGGAAAGUUUCGGCGGUUGGGGAUGGACUCGCGGCUUAUCAGCUUGUUGGUGGGGUAGUGGCUUACCAAGGCUUUGACGGGUAGCCGGCCUGAGAGGGUGACCGGCGAAGGGGCGAGAGAGGUCCGGACCCUGGUGGUGCGGGAGGGAGGGGUGGGGAAUGGUGCACAGGGUGCGGAGGGCGCGUGCAAGCACGAGGCGUGCUGGCGAACGGCGUUGGGGGUGGAGACCGCUGUGGUAGAUGAGAAAGGGAGAAUGAUGAUAAUGAGUAAAGAAGCACCGUGAAACUACGUGCCAGCAGCAGCGGUAAUAGAGGAAGAGAAGACGUCUGAAC